UGGAUUGAAGCAAGGCCAGGCUGUGGUUAGCAUUCCCCUAGAUAAGAAUGGAAGAGGUCCUAGUGGCCUUCCACCACACAUACAGUUAAGGCAUUCUCACCUCUGUGGCAUCUAACCAUUUGCAAAU
This 127-nucleotide non-coding RNA is filed under the name Phascolarctos cinereus (koala). The record is from RNAcentral. Lineage: Eukaryota; Metazoa; Chordata; Mammalia; Diprotodontia; Phascolarctidae.